Long non-coding RNA from Triticum urartu, 2931 nucleotides. RefSeq lists it as uncharacterized. NCBI's taxonomy places the organism in Eukaryota, Viridiplantae, Streptophyta, Magnoliopsida, Poales, Poaceae. The record is from RefSeq and is a predicted model, not a curated record.
AUUCAAUUGGGCCUACUAGAUUAAUGGGUCUAUGCUGAUUCCCGCCGAUCGCUAAAAGGCUAAAACAAGGGCAGUCGUGACCCUGGUCUGUUUCGCAUUCUCUCACUCCCCAAUGGCGAUCCUCGACAUGCCGCCGCCACGUAUCCCGCUCCUCUCCCCGAGCUCUCUCCCGACCCUGAUGGACCAGAUCUUGCUGAGGUCCACCACCACCGAGGUCCAAAUCCAUGGCUCCUGCAGUCCUUCAGUGCCAUCCAAGAGCUCUCAUCCCAAUCCAUGCCAGAUUCCAGCGGUAGGAGUAUCAAUGAUGGCGCAACAAAGGAGAGCAGAGGAGAUCGAGGAGGGAUGGGCCGUUGUGACGAGAUGGUUGGAGGUCAAGCAGCGGCGCUAGAGACAAGGACCCGCGGCACGCAGAUCUAUCAUCUUCGUCACCCGCACCAUGUGUUUCGCACAACUCGGCACAGCUGUCGACCUGUGGUGUUGGGGUUGCAGGCUCAUGCAUCCUCCUCGCCGGUCCCUCACCAAUCCUCUUGGCACCACAUGUUCCACUGGGAAAGGUUGAACUGGCAGAAGCCAGCGGACUGAGCUCGUCAUCGUGGCAUCAAACCAUACAAUGAAGUCACAGUCCGGCCAAAUCGUUUGCAAGCAUCCAAGAAGCGGCUCAUGGCGUACCAGAUCCGAGGUGACACCACCGCCACCUGUAGCUUGUCCUCCUUGGUAUGAUUCGCCACCCUGUAUCCCCCAAAACCUCACAAGUUUGCAUGUACUGUCCACUCUGAUCAAUAAUCUUGUUCUUCCUCUCUGCUCCGAGGUUAUUUUCUCUUAUUAUCUGGCAAUCUCUGAUGUUACUUUUGAUUUUUGUAGUAUCAUUAGUUUCAUCCUACUGGAGAACAUGGCAAUAUGCAGGGAGUGAGCAUCUAGGAAGAAUGACGUGAAAAUAAAAGAUGCAUUUAUUUGAUGAUAAGAUUAAUACAAUGAUAAUCCCAAAUAUAGAAACAAAGUGAAGAGGAACAAUGUACUGCUCCUAUAAUGUUCAGGCAAAUUUCUAAAAAGAAAACAGUUCAAUCCUAAACUAUAUAUUUGGUGAAGCGAUUAAUAUAGACUUGAAAUUACAAGUUUAGAAUUCGCUUUAGACUUUCUAAUUUAGAAGUAUUUAAGUUUAAAUUCAAUAAGAAUUCUGAACUGCACACACUGUAUAAUGUUGUUCAAGGAAGGAUUGUUUGCAUUUAAGCAGACCACUUUUAUGCCACAUGGGUUGUAAAUAUCCUGCCAGCAACAUUACUUGUUAUUUACCUUGAAGCUAAACAAUAUGGUGCCUUUGGUUCUUCAUGUGUGCCAACUGAUUUCUUAUAUUCUACCUCUGCUUAUUUGCAUCUAUCCUUAAUGUUGCUUCGUUUUCAUUGAGAGGCUAGACUUCAUUUUGGUGCCACUACAACGAUGUCUUUUACUACAAAGUGGAAAAAGGGGUCCAAAACUGAAUAUUGUUAUCCCAACACACUUCUUCCUGGCGUGUGCUUUUAUCAAUAAGAUGCAUGCUUCUGAAGAGAAUGUGAACAACAACCUUUGCUUCUACUAGGUGAAAAUAUGCCUUGAAAGGGUACAUGCAUGGUUUGGAAAGCUAAUUAGUUGGCAAAAGUACAUGCAUAGUUUGGAAAGCCAAUAAUCUUUAGCAAGGAUACAUAGACUCAUUUCUUCUUUUCUUAGACAUUGCUUGAUCCGUUCAAGGGUACAUGCAUGGUUUGGAAAGCUAAUUAGUUGGGAAAGGUACAUGCAUAGUUUGGAAAGCCAAUAAUCUUCAGCAAGGAUACACAGACUCAUUACUUUUUUUGUUUUGUAGACAUUGCUUGAUCCGAAUUAGAAUAAAAGAUCAAUUACCGAGGCUGUACUAAACCACAUAUUUAUUACUGGGCAGUAGUAGUAGUCUCUUAAUUACCCUUCUAAAAUUAAAUUUAAUGUCUACCUAUUAUUAGAGAAUCAGAAAAGCACAAGCUCUUCAAAAGCUUUCUUGCCAAAAAACAAGGCCUUUCAAAAGCUAAUACAUGUAUAUAUGAUCACAUUAUAUGCAUGUUUUUCUUCUUUAAUUUUCAAACGCUUAUAAAUCAUCUGCAAAAGUAGUGUAGCUUCUAACUCUAUAGGUGUUGAACUAAAUACCAAUCCAAGUCAGAGUGUAAAGAAAAUAAUAUAGGUUUUGAUCUGCCGAGAGGUCAUGCAAUGCUUCUCUAUUUCCAUUUCAGGUCGGAUUUACCUCCAAUACAUUGCAUGGAUUCUUGCACAUAUUAUCUACUUUAUUUUUGGAACUUUUAAUUACUUGGAAGUUUUGUUCUCUAUUAAAUAAGUUAUUUGUCUUCUAGAUUGUACAAACGAUUUUCGCUAAUAUGCUGCACACAUCUUCACCAUUGACUGUAAUAUACGUUUGAUUUCCUGAAGCAUAAGAUGAAUCAUUUAUUAUAUAUACAUUUGAUUUCCUGAAGCAUAAGAAUAACCAUGUAUGGUUUUUUUCAUGCGGAAAUUAUUGUGAUAUCAUUUAUCAGAGGUGCACACAUGCAUGAUUUUCUUCUACAGAAAUUUAGAUUUAGAACUUAGAUUCGGCAAUUAUUUGACAUGCCAUGUUGUGUGUACUAUGCCACUCACAAAAAGCAUAGGAUCCAUCAAGCGGCUUUGGCAGAGUUAAUCCGUACGUGGAUGUUUAGCUGAAUCCUGAAGUAUAACUUUUACAGUUUUGUGCAUAUUAUUGUUCAGGUUACUGCAAUUAGUCCACUGAUUGAAGGCUAGAUGUUGCUUCUUGAUCAACCCUAUUAGCUUUUAGAUGUUUUUAAGUUAUAGGGAGAGCUAUUAUGUCGAUUUAUUUUUCGAUAUUUUCAUUUGAAUGUAGCCAAAGCUACAAUUGGACAUAUAGAUUGUAUACAUAACUUCUAUGGAACAACUUUUGUUAGA